AGAGUUUGAUCCUGGCUCAGAAUCAACGCUGGCGGCGUGCCUCAGACAUGCAAGUCGAACGAUUAAACUUCUCUUCGGAGAAGAUAUAAAGUGGCGCACGGGUGAGUAACACGUAAGUAAUCUACCUUUGGAUGGGGAAUAACAGUCGGAAACGACUGCUAAUACCGCAUAAUGCAGCGGCAUCAUAAGAUGACAGUUGUUAAAGUAUUUAUACGUCUGGAGAGGAGCUUGCGGCAGAUUAGCUAGUUGGUAAGGUAACGGCUUACCAAGGCGACGAUCUGUAUCCGACCUGAGAGGGUGGUCGGACACACUGACACUGAAUAACGGGUCAGACUCCUACGGGAGGCAGCAGUCGGGAAUUUUGGGCAAUGGGCGAAAGCCUGACCCAGCAACGCCGCGUGAAGGAUGAAGUCUUUCGGGAUGUAAACUUCGUAAGAAUAGGAAGAAUAAAUGACGGUACUAUUUGUAAGGUCCGGCUAACUACGUGCCAGCAGCCGCGGUAAUACGUAGGGACCAAGCGUUGUUCGGAUUUACUGGGCGUAAAGGGCGCGUAGGCGGCGUGACAAGUCACUUGUGAAAUCUCCGGGCUUAACUCGGAACGGUCAAGUGAUACUGUUGUGCUAGAGUGCAGAAGGGGCAAUCGGAAUUCUUGGUGUAGCGGUGAAAUGCGUAGAUAUCAAGAGGAACACCUGAGGUGAAGACGGGUUGCUGGGCUGACACUGACGCUGAGGCGCGAAAGCUAGGGUAGCAAACGGGAUUAGAUACCCCAGUAGUCC
Molecule: ribosomal RNA, 776 nt
Filed under: uncultured Acidobacteriota bacterium
Lineage: Bacteria; Pseudomonadati; Acidobacteriota
Description: bacterial SSU rRNA
Rfam family: Bacterial small subunit ribosomal RNA
Source: RNAcentral